Non-coding RNA from Aspergillus melleus, 102 nucleotides. The record is from the annotation of a RefSeq genome assembly. Lineage: Eukaryota; Fungi; Ascomycota; Eurotiomycetes; Eurotiales; Aspergillaceae.
GGCCGGGUGGCGCAAUGGUAGCGCGUUGGUUUUCGGUGGUCAGGUUUACCUGGCAAUUCGGAAGCUUACCAAAGGUUGCGGGUUCGAGUCCCGUCGCGGUCA